This 75-nucleotide transfer RNA is filed under the name Pseudomonadota bacterium. Its description in RNAcentral is "Proteobacteria bacterium (sediment metagenome) tRNA-Asn". It matches the Rfam family "tRNA". From Rfam's summary of the family: Transfer RNA (tRNA) molecules are approximately 80 nucleotides in length. Their secondary structure includes four short double-helical elements and three loops (D, anti-codon, and T loops). RNAcentral also lists the same sequence under 1 other name. Lineage: Bacteria; Pseudomonadati; Pseudomonadota. The record is from RNAcentral.
UCCUCGGUAGCUCAGCGGUAGAGCAACCGGCUGUUAACCGGUUGGUCGUAGGUUCGAAUCCUACCCGAGGAGCCA